AAUGAACGCUGGCGGCAUGCCUAACACAUGCAAGUCGAACGAGACCUUCGGGUCUAGUGGCGCACGGGUGCGUAACGCGUGGGAAUCUGCCCUUGGGUUCGGAAUAACAGUUAGAAAUGACUGCUAAUACCGAAUGAUGUCGUAAGACCAAAGAUUUAUCGCCCAGGGAUGAGCCCGCGUAGGAUUAGCUAGUUGGUGUGGUAAAAGACGCACCAAGGCGACGAUCCUUAGCNGGUCUGAGAGGAUGAUCAGCCACACUGGGACUGAGACACGGCCCAGACUCCUACGGGAGGCAGCAGUGGGGAAGUAUUGGACAAUGGGCGAAAGCCUGAUCCAGCAAUGCCGCGUGAGUGAU
RNAcentral lists this ribosomal RNA (355 nucleotides) under uncultured bacterium. Its description in RNAcentral is "bacterial SSU rRNA". It matches the Rfam family "Bacterial small subunit ribosomal RNA", at positions 29 to 409 of the family's 1533-position model. The record is from RNAcentral.